CAGUGUGCCCUUGCCAUUGCUCCAUCUGCAAGACUCACCCUUCUAUAGAAGUAAAUUUGCCUUGCUGGAGUGUUAACUUGUUGUUGGAGUGCUAACUCUUCUUUGUGGCACCAAAAAGUUAUUUCCAACACGAAGCUGCACCCUUGGUGGAGGGAACAUCUGACGAAGUUCAAUGUUUGGGGAAAACAAUAUCUGGAAAGAUUGAAGAGUCAGCAGGAGAAACACCUAGGAAAAUUACAAGGCCUGUGAAAGAAACAUCUGAGAAAUUUGCAUGGCCACAAGAAAGACCUACAAAGACCACAUGGGAGGAAAAAGAAACAUCUGUAAAGACUGAAUGCGUGGCAGGAGUAACAUCUAAUAAAACUGAAGUUUUGGAAGAAGGAACAUCUAAGAUGAUCACAUGUCCUACAAAAAAACAGCUACAAAAGCAAGUACACAUGGACAAGAAGAACCAAGAAAGUCCUGAAGAAGAACAGAGCUCAAGAAUGUAUACCAUCAGAUGUCUCCAACUUUAUUACAAUUAAAAUAAGAUGGUAUUAGCAGGACAUACAAAUAGAGAAACAAAAAACAAACUCAUACUUACACCAUCACCUGAUUUAUGACAAGGGUGAAACUGCAGUGCAGUGAGGAAAUAAUAAUCUUCUCAAUAAAUGGUGGUAGAUAAUUUGGAUAUCAAUAUGGGAGAAUAAAAGACUUUAACCCUUGUCUUGUGUCACAAACAAAAGUCAAUCGUAGGUGGGUUAUAAAGCUCAAUCUGAAAUGUUAAAAAUUUUUAAAAAAAGCUUCUGUAACAUAGAAGAAUAUCUUUAUGACAAUGGGGUAGACAAAAAUUUCUUAAGCAAGACUAAAUAAGCGUUAACUACACAGAAAAAGUCUGAUAAAUUGAACUACAUUAAAAUUAAGAAAUUGGUAUUAACGAAGUCACCAUUAAGAGAAAGAAAAGACAAGUUAAAUUGGGAGAAGAUAUCUGCAAUGUUUAGGUCCAAUCAAAAACCUAUAUCCAGAAUAUAUAAAAAUUUCCUACAAAUCUUCAUGUAUUCUGGAUAUAAAUUUAUGAUUGGACAUAAACCAAAAAAAGUCCAGGACCAGAUGGAUUCACAGCUGAAUUCUACCAGAGGUACAAAGAGGAGCUGAUACCAUUCCUUCUGAAACUAUUCCAAUCAGUAGAAAAAGAGGGAAUCCUCCCUAACUCAUUUUAUGAGGCCAGCAUCAUCCUGAUACCAAAGCCUGGCAGAGACAC
This 1240-nucleotide long non-coding RNA is filed under the name Homo sapiens (human). Its description in RNAcentral is "non-protein coding lnc-FOXD4L6-22:1". Lineage: Eukaryota; Metazoa; Chordata; Mammalia; Primates; Hominidae. The record is from RNAcentral.